GGGGGCGACCUGGUUUCGACAGGGGUUGUGAAGCGGUCAGGGCAUACCGAGGACCCGUCACCUCGUUAAUCAAUGGGAAAACGUAACUGCAAACGACGAUACGUUCGCACUGGCAGCCUAAGGGCUAGCCAUCCUCUCACUAUUCGCUGACGGUUAGGGUAGCAAUACCACGAGAGGUCAUAUACGUCAGAUAAGCUUUGGUUGCGUCACGACGCCCGAGUCGAAAAUUUAGUGAAUCGCCGUAACGCAGCGUGUUCGUCCGCGUCGUUACGGUUAAAUCAAAUGACAGAACUAAGUAUGUAGAACUGGUCGUAGAGCGCUUCUGGACGCGGGUUCGAUUCCCGCCGCCUCCACCA
This 356-nucleotide transfer-messenger RNA is filed under the name Burkholderiaceae. Its description in RNAcentral is "Caballeronia calva Standard tmRNA". It matches the Rfam family "transfer-messenger RNA". From Rfam's summary of the family: Bacterial tmRNA, also known as 10Sa RNA or SsrA, is named for its dual tRNA and mRNA-like properties. Its role is to liberate the mRNA from a stalled ribosome. The record is from RNAcentral. Lineage: Bacteria; Pseudomonadati; Pseudomonadota; Betaproteobacteria; Burkholderiales.